UCUACGGCCAUACCACCCUGAACGCGCCCGAUCUCGUCUGAUCUCGGAAGCUAAGCAGGGUCGGGCCUGGUUAGUACUUGGAUGGGAGACCAAAGCAACACAUUCUAUGAUGAGGUAAGAA
RNAcentral lists this ribosomal RNA (121 nucleotides) under Neogale vison (American mink). The record is from RNAcentral. Lineage: Eukaryota; Metazoa; Chordata; Mammalia; Carnivora; Mustelidae.